Molecule: long non-coding RNA, 983 nt
Organism: Bos taurus (domestic cattle)
Lineage: Eukaryota; Metazoa; Chordata; Mammalia; Artiodactyla; Bovidae
Source: Ensembl
GGGCUCUUCUCAGUGCCGUAGUCUCAGAAAGCAUAUCAUUUUUCCACAGGGGAUCUUCCCAACCCAGGGAUCGAACCCACUUCUGUUGCUUCUCCUGCAUUGGCAGGUGGAUUCUUUACCACAGUCGCCCUUGGGAAGCCAGCAACAGGACCCUGGGCCAGGAAGUCAUUUAACAUUUCGGUGCCUCAAGUCUCCCCACGGGUGAACACCGAGCUGUUCUGAGAUGGCAAAUGAAAACACCCAGCACAGGACCUGGAAAGCGGCGGCGGCGUCGAGGGUUUUCAGUGAGGGCUAAUUCUGCUAAUUCCACCGCCCCCUGUCUAGCCCACGAGUCUCCGGAAAGAACCCUGAGGGGCCCCUUAGGACCGCCGGCAGCCUGGGGCGCACCCCUCCCCACACACACACACAGGGCCGAUGUGGAUUAGUUUUGAAAGAACGUCCUUACAAGAGACUGUUCUUGCCCAGCCAAGACGUGAGCUCUCUUUAAUCUACACGCCUGAUCACACGGCUGGACUCGGCCAAGCCCUCUUCGCGUCCACACAGCGGGGGCUGACCGGAGCCCCUCAGCCUAGCCCCAGCGCGGGAGGCCCGCGAGAGCGGCGUGCGCAUGCGUCAGGCCCAACCAUCGCCUCAGCUCGCGGGACUCAGCGGCCCCGGACACGUGGGAGCUCCGGACCAGGAAUCGAACCUCUGUCCCCUGCAUCGGCAGGCUUCCUCGCAACCACUGGACCUGGGCAUGGGACUUAAUCUUUGAGGGCCACAGUUUUCUCCUCAGAAAAGGGGGCUUGAUAACAGAAAUGCAGUUGAAACUCCAUGUAGGUGAUGCCUCAUGGGCAUAUCAUGGCCGCUCAUUGAAUGGUAGCUAUUAGCAGUAGUGGGUCUAUCCUUUCAAAUAAUAUGCAAUAAAUAGGAGGAGUGGCUCUAGCCAUUAAUGAGUUUAAUGCUGUGAUAUCUUGAGCUACUGCAAAUCCAGUAUAUAAUAU